Long non-coding RNA from Stegodyphus dumicola, 391 nucleotides. Lineage: Eukaryota; Metazoa; Arthropoda; Arachnida; Araneae; Eresidae. The record is from RefSeq and is a predicted model, not a curated record.
AUUUUUCUUUGCAGAAUCACAUCACCCUGGGUUACGUGCGGGGGUGCGUGGAAGGGCCUUUAAUCUGCUUAUCCGGAACAAGGUCGACUACUUUUAUUAGAAUGCAUGCUAUUAUAGAACGGUCUUAAAUAUUAGUCUUUGAUUUUUCAAUUGGAUGUCUCAAUUCAGAAUUAUGAAUUCAACAUCUCUUCGUACACGUGUUUUCCAUCUAUUCAGUGCAACUAAGGAUGGUAUUACAAAAGUGAAGUUCAGGCAUAGAUGGAUCUCUGAAUUUUUUCGACUAUUUGACGUAACAGAGUUGUUAGAAGUAAAAGAGUGAUUGAUUAUUCAUUGUUGAAAAACGAAUUUUCUAUUGAAACAUUUUGAUUCAUGAUGUGUUAUUAAGAUUAAA